This is a long non-coding RNA of Humulus lupulus (European hop), 1147 nucleotides long. RefSeq lists it as uncharacterized. The transcript is spliced from 4 exons. The record is from RefSeq and is a predicted model, not a curated record. NCBI's taxonomy places the organism in Eukaryota, Viridiplantae, Streptophyta, Magnoliopsida, Rosales, Cannabaceae.
AAACUGGCCUCCUUACACUGAAAUUUACUUCAUUUCGCAGCCUCGAAUUGACUUGUUUUUGCUUAUUAUUUGCUCUUCCUUCUAUGUUGCUGUUAAGUUUUACCUUUUGUAGCUUUACCUUGGCAGGAGUUUCAAUGAUUUGUAUACUUACUCACAUUUCUACACAAAUUUAGAGUUUGACUCACUCAUUGUCAUUAUACCUGAUAUAAAUUUGAUUGCUUUGAGUUUUUUUUUCUUUUAACAAUACUUACUUUAAAUUAGGUUACUUGAGUUUUUGUUUGUUUUAUUUCUUACUAUUUUGGGCUACUGUUUUAUCAUCUUUGAAUUGUUAUAAACUUAGUUCUUUUCAUACAUACAGUAUUAUAUACGUGGCUUCUUAUUUUUUGGGCUGAGCAAGGGUAUUGUCUGUUUUGGCUCCACUGGAUGGCUGGACAAUUAUGUUCGGCUGCCGAAAUGGUGCACUUGUAUUUGGGCUAUACUAACCCACUGAAAUGUGUACCAAUGUAGUCUCACCCUGACACUGCUAUUUUUUUAUUCUUUUUUCUAUAGGGAUAUGUACUAUGUAUUAUCAUUGUGGUUGUGUAAAUAUGACUACUUUUAUUUUCUUUUCAUAUUAAAAUUUUAUUAUAAACCAUUUUUCAAAUAUGUACUUUCAAAUUUGUUUUAAACCAUUGAGAUGUAGGUUUGAUGUUAAAUAAUAAUAAGAGAGUGAUUAAAUGUCAUUUCAAUAAAAUGACAUAUUUUGAACUAAUCUCUGCUUCUCUAUGGAGUAAAAUAUACAGUGAGGCGAGCUUAUUCUAUCUUCAUCUGUCCUACAGUUGUUUGCAUCUGCUGAUCAUUCCUUUUUCAUGUUGUAUCUAUUAAUUCAUAUCUCGGCUGUGUUUUCUUUUACCAGAAACAUUCUUUGGUUGGAUGAAUCCCCUUAUGCAGCGUGCAUAUCAAAGACCAAUAACAGAGAAGGAAGUGUGGAAGUUAGAUACUUGGGAUAGAACAGAAACACUGAAUGCUAAGUUCCAAGAAUGUUGGGUUAAAGAAUCUCAGAAGCGAAAGCCAUGGCUGUUAAAAGCAUUAAACAGUAGCCUUGGAGGAAGGUUUUGGUGGGGAGGCUUUUGGAAGAUGUGACAAGCGAAAUAGAAAAUGAUACUUA